CAUGGCAAUGCUGGAUCCUUAACCCCUUGAAUGAGGCCAAGGAUAGAAUCCAAGCCCUCAUGGAUUCUAGUCGAGUUCAUUAACCACUGAGCCACAAUGGGAACUCCACAAUGGAUACUUUUAGAUAAACUCCAAGGAAAUGUGAGAAGUUAUAUUUAAGAAAAUCAGCUUUCCUCUACUUUUCUCACAUUCUCUGGGUGACAUUUUACCUGUCUUGAAUUUAGUAGAGGGAAUUACAUUGUAAAAUAGAACUUUGGAUAGUAUUUAAGAGGCUGCUUUUGCCCAAUACGCAUUAUAGUACUUAUGUAAAUGGACAAGAAUAAAUCCCAUGUAGUUUUUUUUUAAUAGUGAAAAACAGUGAGGGAUACAAAAAUGUUUUGUUUACUUUUGUAACAUAUACUUUGGGAGGUUGAUAAAGUAUAAUGCCAAUAAGGGCAUGAUGAAAUGUCUGCUGUAAGGCAUUUUAUACUCAGAAAUAACAUUUGAGGCAAUGUUUCACAGUUUACAAAGUGAUUUCCUUUAAGGUAUUUUUCAUAGCAACCCACAUGAAGUAGAUAUGACUAUCCCCAUUUUGAAAGGAAGACAGUUACAUUAUCUUUAACAUCAAUGAUAGCCAUGGCAACUAGGCCCUUUAAUUAAAAUAAGCAUACACACCCAUACACUAUGUACGUCCCAAGACGAUUGUCAUGAGGAUGGUGAGGGAUCAUGUGGUAGCAAGUCCUAAAUGUACCAGAAGAGAGACAUGCUUCUCAAAUAUAAGGUACUUACUCCCACCUCUCUUGUUAUUCUUCCUUCUCCCCAGGGGCAAUGGCUGUGGGCAUUUUUCUUCCAGAUUUCUUCCUUCCAUUCCCAAGUCCAUGCCUGGCAGGGAGUAUGGUGGGCAGCCCUUGAUUUAAGAGGCUUGCUUUGGUUUUAUAAAUUACUCCUUUUUAUCACUGAGCCUGUGGGUCACCGUAAUUGUUUUGGGCAGACUUAGCUUAUAGUGACUUCCUCCUGACUGAAGAAUUGAAACAAAUGGCAUGGAUUUUGUAAGGCGGCUGUGCUUUCUUUCUCCUUCUUGUUCAUCCUUCCCAGGCUGAGGAUGAGAAGGUGAAGAUUGUACAUCAUACCCAUCAGUUAGAGAUUGAGCUACCCAACCCACUGAGGGGACUUUAAUUUACAGAAAGGAAACUGCUAACAGCUAUCUCUAAAUUACAAUGGUGAAGAUUUACCAGAGGGAAGCUUCGGUAAAAUAGGCUUUUUAGUCUUGUCCCUAAUAAGUGUAUGUACCUAUUAGGGUAUAAUGUAAACUACCAUUUUGCUGAAACCGGCUUACAUAAUAAUUUUGUGCCGCUGGUUAACUCCAGUUUACUUUGCAUUUAGUCUUGCCCUUGAUUUUGCGUAAGAAGGGGAACACUGGUUUAUCUGGACUGUGAUAACCUGGAUUAUUUCCUGCUUUAUCUAGGCAAUUAAGUCAGAAUUGUAUACAUUUGUCCAUGGGUGAUAGUUGUUGGUGGCAUUCCAUUACCAUAGCAACAGGCUUCAUUCUUGGUUGCUACUAAUUGCCUCCAGAAUUAUGAGGGUAGGGAGGUUUUCCAGCUGACAGUGCACAGUGUUUGUAGAAAGUGCAAAAAGGGCUCUGUCAGAGCUCUCUAUUUAGAACCAACGGCUCGGGGACCACAAUGACUGAGAUAGAUGUGUUACAAGAACUUCCCAGUGACUUACUGCCCUGACUCUGGUUGCUGACAAAUGCUAUACUGCUACUUGGCUUCUGGGAAACGGAAAAGGUAUUUGGCCUUGGGAGUGUUUCUGUGGAAAGUAUAAUAGCAUGAACACCUGGUUCCCUAUCCUGCUUCUUCAGUCAACUGCCCAAUGGGUCAUUUUAUUUACAUUCCAGAUGUAGCCAAUAAAGAGAAUGAGGUGGCUUCAGUGAAUUCUAAUGGUCAUACUAUAUUCCUUUCAAGGAUAAAGUAAGUCUUUUAGCUUUUAUUUCAAAUAACUUGCUUAUAUUUUGUAUGAAAUGGAUGAUUAAUCUUGUGGUAUUUAAACCACUAAGUGUGUUUAUCUUGAUAUCACAAUAUAACUGAUAUGGCUUAUAUCUAAUGUAAAUGUUACUUUAAAAUAUUUCAGUUUAUAUUAAAUAUAUAAAAUAAAUAGUUUAUAUUAAAUAUUAAAAUAAAUAUUUUAGUUUAAAAUAUGUUACUUUAAAAUAAUAUAGUGCUUAUCUUAUCCCUUAACUGCUGGGCACAUGGCUCCAUUUCUUCUUCUAAAUCAUGAUUUGGAUAUUUAAAAAAAAAGAAAGAAAAGAAAACCCCAGCUUGUUUAUAAUAGAACAUCUCAAGUUUAUGGUGAAGGUUUACUAUAGUCUCAAGGUGUGUAACACUUCACAGAGCUGUACAAGUGGUAUUAUUAGCUGUCAUUUAGAUAUUUUCCUUUGUGAAAGUGCUUUAUUACAAGCAAUAUUUGUCCUACUACAGGAUGUUUUUCCCAAGAAAUUCAUUCUCUAAAGGAAUUCUCUAUAUCUUCCCACUGAUGUUAUUAACUCAAAAUGAUUCCUAGGCCAAUAUUCUGUCAUAUUCUUCAGCCAGGUGAAUCACACAUUGUAAUCUGGCUGUUUCAUCUCCUCUCAUGCUUGCCCAGGCUGUGCCUGAGCUGCACAGGGGACUUGCCUCAUUGUUCUUAAAACCCAGGCAUUCUCACAUCUCAGUGACUUUGCACAUACUGUCCCCUCGGCUGGCCUGGAAUGCACUCCUGCUCCUGCUUUCCCAGACACUUGCCUGAGGAAAGCUGGGCUAGUUCCGCCUCAGUGUUACCUCUGCCGUGAAGCCUCCUCUGACUCACUGUCACCCCUGCUUUAGGAUCACCUGGGACAUUUCCCUGUUGGACACAUGUCUGUUUCACCAUUACAAACUCCAACACACACAAUCUUGUUGCAAAGACAAGUUGUUCAUACAAGAACUCUCAUCCAACAAAGUGGAGCCGGCUGUUGGUGAUGUGAGCCCUUGAAAGAUCUGUGGGUCCUUGGCUGGU
Molecule: non-coding RNA, 3009 nt
Organism: Sus scrofa (pig)
Lineage: Eukaryota; Metazoa; Chordata; Mammalia; Artiodactyla; Suidae
Source: RefSeq, a predicted model, not a curated record